GCUGUCGUCAGCUCGUGUCGUGAGAUGUUGGGUUAAGUCCCGCAACGAGCGCACCCCCUGUCCUAUGUUGCCAGCAUUUAGUUGGGACUCAUAGGAGACUGCCGGUGAUAAACCGGAGGAAGGUGGGGACGACGUCAAGUCAUCAUGCCCCUUAUGUCCAGGGCUGCACGCAUGCUACAAUGGCAAGUACAACGAGUCGCAAUACCGCGAGGUGGAGCAAAUCUCUUAAAGCUUGUCUCAGUUCGGAUAGGAGUCUGCAACUCGACUCCUUGAAGUUGGAGUCGCUAGUAAUCGCAAAUCAGCAAAGUUGCGGUGAAUACGUUCUCGGGGUUUGUACACACCGCCCGUCAAGUCACGGAAGUCGGCAAUACCCGAAGCCAGUGGUCCAACCCUUUUAGGGAGGAAGCUGUCGAAGGUAGGGUCGGUAACUGGGACU
RNAcentral lists this ribosomal RNA (436 nucleotides) under uncultured bacterium ECS52. RNAcentral's name for it is "bacterial SSU rRNA". It matches the Rfam family "Bacterial small subunit ribosomal RNA", at positions 1048 to 1482 of the family's 1533-position model. The record is from RNAcentral.